Molecule: ribosomal RNA, 488 nt
Filed under: uncultured bacterium
Lineage: Bacteria
Description: partial 16S ribosomal RNA
Rfam family: Bacterial small subunit ribosomal RNA
Source: RNAcentral
GACGAACGCUGGCGGCGUGCUUAACACAUGCAAGUCGAACGCGCCUGUCCUCUGGGUUUCUGGGGGGUGGGUGAGUGGCGAACGGGUGAGUAACACGUGAGUAACCUGCCCCCUUCUUCGGGAUAACGGUCUGAAAGGGCUGCUAAUACCGGGUAUUCACUGGUCUCCGCAUGGGGUCUGGUGGAAAGGUUUUUUUCUGGUGGGGGAGGGGCUCGCGGCCUAUCAGCUUGUUGGUGGGGUGAUGGCCCACCAAGGCUUUGACGGGUAGCCGGCCUGAGAGGGUGCCCGGUCACAUUGGGACUGAGAUACGGCCCAGACUCCUACGGGAGGCAGCAGUGGGGAAUAUUGCACAAUGGGCGCAAGCCUGAUGCAGCGACGCCGCGUGAGGGAUGGAGGCCUUCGGGUUGUGAACCUCUUUCGCCCGUGGUCAAGCCGCGACGUGGGUCGUGGUGAGGGUAGUGGGUAAAGAAGCGCCGGCUAACUACGUG